AUGCGGCGGCGAGGCAUGGGAAUGGCCAAGUCGGGGAACCGCCGGACGAGGUCCUCGCCGCCGGCCACCGCCCUCGCCUCCGCAAUCACCACGUCCUCCUCAUCCUCCACAAACCUCGAAGAAACCGCCUCGCCGUACUUCCUACCUCAGCUGAUCCCAUUGACCGCGAGCCGCCUGACGACCCUCGAGGACUUCUUCGCCCUACGUGCCGCCUGCCGCGCCUACCGGGCUCACCUCCCGCUGUCAUCGUCCAACCUCGCCUCACAGGGUCCGCUCCUCCUCGUCCCCCACAAGACCUCUGCCUCGGAAGCGCUCUUCCACGUCCCCCUCCGCCGCAUCCUCCGCUUCCGCCUCCCGCGCACCCCCCUGGCCCAUGGACGCCGCAGCCCCACCUGCUUCAGCCGUCUCUUCACCCCCCAAGACCUCAGCCUCACCUGCUUCCACUCCUUCGGCUGCCGCGUCGCCAUACAACGCAUGAGCGCCAACGCCAGCCGCCCCGAGAUCCGCAUCCGCCACCUCCUCACAGGUGAGCGAGCCCGCCUGCCCGAUCCCCCUGAAUGCGUUGGAGGUGUUCUCUUUUCCGACGACCUAAUCCUCGCCUUCACGCCAUGGCACCGGGACAUCUACUACUGCCGCAUUGGGGAUGCUCAGUGGCAAGCGGCGCGGUGCGACGAAUGCUACCACGUUUACAGUCUGAUGUUCGUGAAAGGCACCCUCUACGCGUUGAUUUAUCCAAAUUAUCGUCUUGCUGUUGUCGAGCUUGACAAGAAUUAUGUGGUAUUGUCGUUUCUUGGUGAGGAACUUAGCCCACAGACAGUUCCAAAAAGUUCGGUGGCCUGGCUCGCAGAGUGUCAGGGUGAGCUAAUGCUAAUUAUCAAAAUCAGGUUGUAUCGUGUUUUCCAGUGGGGAUCCGGGGAAAGGAAGUGGGCGAGGACACAUAGCCUUGGUGGUUGCAGCUUGUUCUUUAAUAUGCAUGAGUUCGCUGGUUGCCUUGGUCCAGAUCAUCCGGGAGUUCGAAGAGACUGCUUGUACUUUACUGGAAGCCUUGGGAACUGGAGCGAGUAUUCUCUGGUUGAUAGAUCUUUGCAUGAAAUUAUUGCUGACUACCCAGGGCAAGCAGUACGGAAGGAUUUUGUGCCACUGGCUUGGGUCCUUCCAAGCAUUUGUUGA
This 1170-nucleotide ribosomal RNA is filed under the name Triticum aestivum (bread wheat). RNAcentral describes it as "partial small subunit ribosomal RNA". Lineage: Eukaryota; Viridiplantae; Streptophyta; Magnoliopsida; Poales; Poaceae. The record is from RNAcentral.